CACAUCCUUUUAAAUGCUUCUCGAUAAUAGAAGAUGGAGAAGCCCCAACCAUGGAUUGGAAAAUGAGGAACAAAGUAGGUUGGAAAAUGACCUAGAAAUGAGGAAGAAGGUGAGUUUGAAAAUGCUCCUAACAUUUCCAACAAUUAUCACACCAAUCAUUCCAAGUUUAAAAAUACCACUGGAUUUUGAAGAAAUUAUCCGCACCAGCUA
Molecule: long non-coding RNA, 210 nt
Filed under: Elaeis guineensis (African oil palm)
Lineage: Eukaryota; Viridiplantae; Streptophyta; Magnoliopsida; Arecales; Arecaceae
Description: long non-coding RNA (EGUI_LNC034790)
Source: RNAcentral